This 567-nucleotide ribosomal RNA is filed under the name uncultured bacterium. RNAcentral describes it as "bacterial SSU rRNA". It matches the Rfam family "Bacterial small subunit ribosomal RNA", at positions 112 to 714 of the family's 1533-position model. The record is from RNAcentral.
AACGCGUGGGAAUAUACCCUUCACUAUGGAAUAGCCUCGGGAAACUGAGAGUAAUACCAUAUACGCCCUUCGGGGGAAAGAUUUAUCGGUGAAGGAUUAGCCCGCGUAAGAUUAGAUAGUUGGUGGGGUAAUGGCCUACCAAGUCUACGAUCUUUAGCUGGUUUCAGAGGAUGAUCAGCAACACUGGGACUGAGACACGGCCCAGACUCCUACGGGAGGCAGCAGUGGGGAAUCUUAGACAAUGGGCGAAAGCCUGAUCUAGCCAUGCCGCGUGAGUGAUGAAGGUCUUAGGAUCGUAAAGCUCUUUCGCUAGGGAUGAUAAUGACAGUACCUAGUAAAGAAGCCCCGGCUAACUCCGUGCCAGCAGCCGCGGUAAUACGGAGGGGGCUAGCGUUGUUCGGAAUUACUGGGCGUAAAGCGUACGUAGGCGGAUCAGAAAGUAUGGGGUGAAAUCCCAGGGCUUAACCCUGGAACUGCCUCAUAAACUCCUGGUCUUGAGUUCGAGAGAGGUGAGUGGAAUUCCAAGUGUAGAGGUGAAAUUCGUAGAUAUUUGGAGGAACACCAGUG